AUUCCCAUGCCUGAAAGCUUCUUUUUCAGCUUGGUGUUCCAGUGAUUCUUAACAUCAUUAUCGGUGCGGCCAGGCAGCUGAGCUGCUAUCAAUGACCAGCUGCAAUGCCCAUUUUAAGAGGUAAGUAAAAUACCUAAGGAAAUAAGGAAAAUAGGAAAAUAGAAUGACAGCAAUUCAUGUACCGGUUGCCAACAACUGAAUGAAGCUUCACGAUGGUCUGUUCUUCUGCAUCCGAGAAUUGGCCAUGCUUCAGAUCAGGACGAAGGUAAUUCGUCCAUCGCAGCCUACAGCUCUUCCCACAUCUCUGGAGACCUUAUGAGUAGAAAAAAGAGAAACAGAAAAUCAAAUGCAUUUUUAGUAGAAUCACAUUUGAAUCACUAACCCUCGGAGACAGGUGUAAAGAGGAGAGAACACAAACCGGCAUUCUUAGGGAUGAGGCGCCAGUUGCGGGUGCCAUGCUGGGCGAUAUAGGAAGAGAGUUUGUUGUCUUCCUCCGGUGUCCAUUGCCCCCUCUUAACAUUGUCCUUCUCGCAACACGGGAUCCGACCCAUCUCCGGGUAUUUCCUUAUUUUCUCAGCCCUCAAGAAAAAACUCUAAUUGGGUUUUGAGCAGAGAAAGCAGAGAAUGGGAUGGAAUAAUAAACUAAGAAUAUCGUAAAAAGAAAAAACCCUUGAGUAUGUUUUCAAGUGAUAAAAAAGAUAGGAAGUGAGGUGAGUGAUGGAGGGGGAGGAGAUAAUAUAUUAGAAAUUUAGAAUGGGGUGCAUUGCAUGGAAUGUGAAGUGAAGAGAGAUGCCACCAAAGGUGCAUGAGGGCAUUAAAGAAUUCAACGCCGCUGAGCGUGUGAGAGAUGGGCCGGUAGCUCACCCACAAGACGCUUGGUCAACCCUCUCUCUCUCCAUCUCUCUCUGGUUGACUGUUUUCUGGUUGUGCAGGGGUUGGGUGGCAUGCUGCUUCGCUCACACAAUUCACAAUUCCACUGGAGGACGCUCCUCUUGGUUUUUAUCAAAUUCCGAAGUUUAAGGUUGUUGCACGUGUGGGUGGCACCCCUGUUUCUUGUAGGCAAUCUUCAUUUUCUUUGUUUUCUUUUCUACGUUUGGGACUUUAUACAAUUCUAUAUAUUUGGGCGACAAGAGUGGCUGGUGGCAUGGUGUUGUGUUGCUCUCAAGUACCUCUUCUUCCCAUUUGGUCCACUAGGU
RNAcentral lists this long non-coding RNA (1196 nucleotides) under Vitis vinifera (wine grape). Its description in RNAcentral is "long non-coding RNA (VVIN_LNC006524)". The record is from RNAcentral. Lineage: Eukaryota; Viridiplantae; Streptophyta; Magnoliopsida; Vitales; Vitaceae.